This 102-nucleotide non-coding RNA is filed under the name Paenisporosarcina sp. HGH0030. Its description in RNAcentral is "Purine riboswitch aptamer". It matches the Rfam family "Purine riboswitch aptamer". From Rfam's summary of the family: Riboswitches are metabolite binding domains within certain messenger RNAs that serve as precision sensors for their corresponding targets. Allosteric rearrangement of mRNA structure is mediated by ligand binding, and this results in modulation of gene expression. A class of riboswitches that selectively recognises guanine and becomes saturated at concentrations as low as 5 nM. RNAcentral also lists the same sequence under 1 other name. The record is from Rfam by way of RNAcentral. Lineage: Bacteria; Bacillati; Bacillota; Bacilli; Caryophanales; Caryophanaceae.
UUAUACAGACCGGUUUGCCCUCAUAUAUGUCCGAUAAUAAGGUUCGGAUGUUUCUACCAAGUCGCCGGAAAUGACUUGACUAUGAAGGCGAAUGCACCCAUG